RNAcentral lists this ribosomal RNA (359 nucleotides) under uncultured bacterium. Its description in RNAcentral is "partial 16S ribosomal RNA". It matches the Rfam family "Bacterial small subunit ribosomal RNA", at positions 338 to 694 of the family's 1533-position model. The record is from RNAcentral.
CCUACGGGUGGCAGCAGUGAGGAAUAUUGGUCAAUGGGCUUACGCCUGAACCAGCCAAGUCGCGUGAGGGAAGACUGCCCUAUGGGUUGUAAACCUCUUUUGUCAGGGAGCAACGCCGGCUACGUGUAGCCGGACUGAGAGUACCUGAAGAAAAAGCAUCGGCUAACUCCGUGCCAGCAGCCGCGGUAAUACGGAGGAUGCGAGCGAUAUCCGGAUUUAUUGGGUUUAAAGGGUGCGUAGGCGGAAUGCCAAGUCAGCGGUAAAAUCGCGGGGAUCAACCUCGCUCCGCCGUUGACACUGGUGUUCGUGAGUGGGCGAGAAGGAUGCGGAAGGGGUGGUGUAGCGGGGAAAUGCCGAGA